Molecule: transfer RNA, 75 nt
Filed under: Bacillus sp. HNG
Lineage: Bacteria; Bacillati; Bacillota; Bacilli; Caryophanales; Bacillaceae
Description: tRNA-Glu
Rfam family: tRNA
About the family: Transfer RNA (tRNA) molecules are approximately 80 nucleotides in length.
Source: RNAcentral
GGCCCGUUGGUCAAGCGGUUAAGACACCGCCCUUUCACGGCGGUAACACGGGUUCGAAUCCCGUACGGGUCACCU